AGAUGAAGGAUCCGAGCCCUGGAAGUUGCAGGACUGGUAAGCAGCAGGCUGGAACAGAAAUAGUCUAAUUUUCAUCAGUUGAAUGCAGUAAUAUAAUGGAAGUGCAAUCAAUACAAUAUGAAUAUGAUGAACCUUGAAGCUAUAUGUUGAAAAUGACCAAGUCUCACAUUUAAGCAGCCUGAGUCUCUGAAUUUCCACACAGAAGACCACCUAUCCAACACUGGCACUUGACUGCUACAGACGCGUAGAGGUCCAAGAGCAGGGUGGAAGCCCAGCCGUGUGAAAUGCGCAGUUCACCAGCUCUGGGGCAGCAAGACAGCUUAAGAUGCACCGACUGAAAGCAUCAAAGAAGAACUGUGUGAAAACUAACUUCUUGUCAUUCUUUCACAUUCGCCACACCACAUUUUAAAGAAAAAUAUACCUCUUGCAAAGCUGCCUCUUUGAAAAUGUGGAACACAGAACUUCAC
Long non-coding RNA from Chinchilla lanigera (long-tailed chinchilla), 467 nucleotides. RefSeq lists it as uncharacterized. The transcript is spliced from 4 exons. The record is from RefSeq and is a predicted model, not a curated record. NCBI's taxonomy places the organism in Eukaryota, Metazoa, Chordata, Mammalia, Rodentia, Chinchillidae.